RNAcentral lists this ribosomal RNA (389 nucleotides) under Dinophyceae sp. Its description in RNAcentral is "partial small subunit ribosomal RNA". It matches the Rfam family "Eukaryotic small subunit ribosomal RNA", at positions 582 to 975 of the family's 1831-position model. Lineage: Eukaryota; Dinophyceae. The record is from RNAcentral.
AUUCCAGCUCCAAUAGCGUAUAUUAAAGUUGUUGCGGUUAAAAAGCUCGUAGUUGGAUUUCUGCCGAGGAUGACCGGUCCGCCCUGUGGGUGUGCAUCUGGCUCAGCCUUGGCAUCUUCCUGAAGAACGUAGCUGCACUUGACUGUGUGGUGCGGUAUUUAGGACAUUUACUUUGAGGAAAUUAGAGUGUUUCAAGCAAGCGCACGCUUUGAAUACAUUAGCAUGGAAUAAUAAGAUAGGACCUCGGUUCUAUUUUGUUGGUUUCUAGGACCGAAGUAAUGAUAAAUAGGGACAGUUGGGGGCAUUCAUAUUCCAUUGUCAGAGGUGAAAUUCUUGGAUUAACGGAAGAUGAACUUCUGCGAAAGCAUCUGCCAAGGAUGUUUUCAUCG